UACGGAGGAUGCGAGCGUUAUCCGGAUUUAUUGGGUUUAAAGGGAGCGUAGACGGCCGUUUAAGUCAGCUGUGAAAUGGUGCGGCUCAACCGUAGCACUGCAGUUGAAACUGGUCGGCUUGAGUGCAGUUGAGGCAGGCGGAAUUCGUGGUGUAGCGGUGAAAUGCUUAGAUAUCACGAAGAACCCCGAUUGCGAAGGCAGCCUGCUAAGCUGCAACUGACGUUGAGGCUCGAAAGUGUGGGUAUCAAAC
This 250-nucleotide ribosomal RNA is filed under the name uncultured Bacteroides sp. Its description in RNAcentral is "partial 16S ribosomal RNA". It matches the Rfam family "Bacterial small subunit ribosomal RNA", at positions 524 to 773 of the family's 1533-position model. Lineage: Bacteria; Pseudomonadati; Bacteroidota; Bacteroidia; Bacteroidales; Bacteroidaceae. The record is from RNAcentral.